This is a long non-coding RNA of Mya arenaria, 5651 nucleotides long. RefSeq lists it as uncharacterized. The transcript has 3 exons. NCBI's taxonomy places the organism in Eukaryota, Metazoa, Mollusca, Bivalvia, Myida, Myidae. The record is from RefSeq and is a predicted model, not a curated record.
UGAUUUUUAAUUGUUGCUACACCCAAAAGUAUAGCAACAGGCAACACUUACUGCUGCAGCUAAAUUUGGUUGGCGAAACAACAGCAACAGCCUUAUAUGAACAGACUGCUAUAUAUAUCUAUAUCUCUUUGUUAACAAUACACAUACAGUGGAACCCCGAUGGCUCGAACUUCAAGGGACCGGCGAAAAUAUCUCGAGCCAAGCGGGAAUGUUUACCUUCAGUAUAAAUAUAUCGGUUCUUGACAUCUAGUUUGAACCAUCGAGGAAUUCGAGCCAAGCGAGUUCGCGAAAACGGGGUUCGACUGAACGAACCUUUUGGUACAAAUAAUUUUUUUCUUGAAAUUUUGUCGUUCUUACAAAAUCGGAGCCUCUUAAUCCGUGUUUCUUUUGUAUAUCUACACAAUGUCAUUAUGUCUGUUUGUGAUUAGGAUGAUACGAGUCUUGUGUGUGGUGUUUAUAUUUCGUUGUCUUUAUGUCGCCUUUUUAAUUUCGACUGUAUAUAGUUUUAAUCAUAUAAUUCAUGAACCAUGUUUGGGGGACAUAGAAAUAAGUUAUUCAACAGUAUAGUUAUUUCGAUCAAUAUAGUUUGAAUAUAUAAUUAUUCAGUACUUUUUUAUAUUUUAGUUAUCAUAUCUCUUGUUUGAUGCGAAUAGACUGUUUGAAUGUUAGUUUCAAUAUUUCUACAUGUUAUAAUGUUUUUUUCUUACGAUAUAAGCUGUCCUUACAUUAAACAUUGUGGCUUUCAUAAACAGUCAAUUGCUAUAAGUACUUUCUGAAGUAUCUUUAAUGACAAGCCCUUGCAUGGUACUUGAUAUUGCAGCAUAAUUGAGAUCAAAUCAUUUAAUCAGUCCAAAGGUUUCUCUAUCUUGGUCCAGAAGAUAAUUGAAUUAGAUAUCGCGGUUUCAACUCGUAUGGAGUCGUAAUUGUACGUGAGCGAUCGUUGUACCGAAGAUACGCGAUUAUGUCUUACGAUUACAGAUGAUAAGACUCGGCAGUUUCCGUCGUGAAUUAACGAGUUUCCGAACUUUUCCAAGUGCAUGAUACGCCCCUUUCCUCAAGCCUCACAAAAACAGCUGAUUUGCGUGGAUGAGACUUUAACGCGGUCCCUUCCCCACCCUGAGGACAGGGGAAAAGGUGGGGGAGGGGUAGGGUAUGGGAGGGGUAUUGGGUGUGGUAAAUACAAGUGUAAAUCAUGGAGUAUCAUAUUUGUAAACCAACCAAUAUGGCGCAACAAAACGAUGAACGAUGCGCCUCCUCUUGGAAAGCUGUCACACACAAUCCUGCGAACAAGUGGUAGUUGGCGAGCGACCGUUCCUUCAACGAAAUCGUAUGUAGCCACACCAGAAACUCCGCUCGGGCAUUUAUAUUCCCUCGGCGUGGAUUGGACAUGGAUGACGACAUGAUUGGCGUCCUUAAACGUCCUUAAUAAAUGCAACGCUUGUUCUUGUUCUACUGGGACUGAUUGAUGUGUAUCUUUUGACUUUCUUUGAGCUGUAUGGAUUUUGGUGGAAUUAGAUUGGAGUUGGAAUAUAAUACACUACUUACAAACAUAUAAUUUUAUCGCAGAAGCAUUUGGAAAACAACGCUUGUCACAACAAAUUGACUCUCCUUUCCGAGAAUAGUUCAUCUACAUAUCUGCUUUUUAGUUGUUUUAAAACUGCAUGUCAUCCUAGUUGUAUAUAUCAUAACGAAUAGUUAGGUGGUGGAUUCAAUAAUCAAGACACGUAUUUUAAUGUUUAUCCUAUGUAAUCAAUAAUUGGUGGUGGGUUUUAUACUAUGUAAUCAAGAAUUGAUGUUGGGUUUUAUCUCUAUAAUCAAUAUUUGGUGGUGGGUUUUAUACUAUGUAAUCACUAUUUGGUGGUGGGCUUUAUACUAUGUAAUCACUAUUUGGUGGUGGGUUUUAUACUAUGUAAUCAAGAAUUGGUGGUGGGUUUUAUCUCUAUAAUCAAUAUUUGGUGGUGGGUUUUAUACUAUGUAAUCAAGAAUUGAUGUUGGGUUUUAUCUCUAUAAUCAAUAUUUGGUGGUGGGUUUUAUACUAUGUAAUCACUAUUUGGUGGUGGGUUUUAUACUAUGUAAUCAAUAUUUGGUGGUGGGUUUUAUACUAUGUAAUCAAGAAUUGAUGUUGGGUUUUAUCUCUAUAAUCAAUAUUUGGUGGUGGGUUUUAUACUAUGUAAUCACUAUUUGGUGGUGGGCUUUAUCCUAUGUAAUCAAGAAUUGGUGGUGGGUUUUAUCUCUAUAAUCAAUAUUUGGUGGUGGGUUUUAUACUAUGUAAUCAAGAAUUGAUGUUGGGUUUUAUCUCUAUAAUCAAUAAUUGGUGGUGGGUUUUAUACUAUGUAAUCAAUAUUUGGUGGUGGGUUUUAUACUAUGUAAUCAAGAAUUGAUGUUGGGUUUUAUCUCUAUAAUCACUAUUUGGUGGUGGGCUUUAUACUAUGUAAUCAAGAAUUGGUGGUGGGUUUUAUAUUCUGUAAUCAAUAUUUGGUGGUGGGUUUUGUAUUCUGUAAUCAAUAGUGGGUGGUGGGUUUUAUACUAUAAAAUUGAAAUGUGUUAAUGUAGUCCUUCUUAAUUAGUAUUUAGUGAUGUAUUGCUUUAAUUGUAAUCGGAAUUUGUCAGUCCUUUGUAAUGGGUAGUCGCUAUAUCAAUUUAUUCGGUUUUUAUCCUUAUUUCUAGUAUUCGGUAAUGGUCUUUUCUCCAGUGUAAUCAGAAUUUCGUGAUCGAAUUUGUAAUAUGUAUUUGAACAGUUUUUAACCUAUAGCCAAUCAUUUAAUAAUAUUUAUUUUGUAUGUAUACAUUUGAGCAUUUACAAGUACUUGAAUAUGUAUCGUCACUAUAAUAUAUCACACAUUAGGAGCCUAAUUGGCUUAUCAGUCUUUUAUUUCAUAUGUUCAUAUGCCUUUCAAGCAAUCACUGGAUGCAAUGCCAAUACAUUAUUAUAACAGUUUUAUAGUCGGGUUGAAGGAUUUAUUGCUGACAUGAACGGGUAUAAUAUUCACAAGAGCAUUUUAUAUCACAAGCAAAAGCCCCUUUUAGCAUAUGCGUACGUACAUAUUUGUUAUCAAAACAAUAAUGGUAGUAUAUAAAGUCAUAUUUCUGAAAUACAAACAUUAAGCCAUGCUUUAUAAUGUAUUAGUUUGAAUGGUGAUUAUUGUCAAGACUGCACUUAUUUAUGUGCAACCUUUCAUAUGUAACAUUGCACAAACGAUAUAUUCACGAUAAGGACUUUAACCGAAUUCUAUGACGUUCUCAUGUGUAUUAAUUAUGUAUAUUUUGUAUAUAACAUGUAUCUUUUGAAAUGGAGACUGAACGGGAUUUCGACGUCAUUACUUUGGCCAUUGUUUUGUCAACCAGUCAAUAUUUAUAAACUUUGAAAAGCUUCAAAUCAUGCGAUCUACAUACUUUCGAAUCUUUCCUUUGCUUACAAUAUAUAACUUCGGCAAUUCAAACGGAAAACAAUUUGGUUUUAGGGGUAUGCUUACAUAAAACUGGAACAUAUGAACAACAGUUGACAGCUUUUGAAUUGUUUUAAUGACAUAUAAUAAUAACAAUAACACUACUGGGGUGCAUCACGUGACCUAGUUCGGCACAAACUCUCGUUCAUAGUCUCGUUUCACUCAGUGCUCGCGAUGCCAAAGAACAAGAUUUGUAUAUAAUAAUAUUUAUUUUAUUUUAUGUGUAUAUGGCGCCAUAUAUAAAUGCUACUUUAUGCUUUUUGUCAAUAUGUUUUUUAUUUAAUUCAAAUUUCAUUAUACGUUAACGUCAGGUUGUUCCUGUUGAAUCCAAUACGAGUGUUUGUAUCAGAUGAGUGUACAAUGUAUGUCAUUUUGUUUGUUUCUGCUGCUAGGUGUGUAUGCAUAAGUUCUUGUGUCUGUGAAGAUUAUAUUAUUGAUCCUAUUUCGAGAUGUGCAAGCAUGUGUGCUAUUAGAAAUGGUGACAUUCUAGUCAAAAUAACAUUUAUCAACAUAACGUAUUUCCAUUCAAUACAAACACUUAUCCUUUUUUUUUAAUUUCAUUACAUGAACAUUUUGUUCAAUUCCAUGAUUUUUUUAAGGUUUUCCUUUUCAAAUCAAAGUUAUCAAUAAUAUGUUUUGAAACCAUUGACCUGUUGUGGACCUAAUGUCAUUCUUAUAUUUCGACAAGUAUGAAGAGUCUGAACGUUAUAACACCAUGUUUUUUUCAACUACUAGUAUUAGACUUCAUCACUUUAUUCUGUUUUAAAUGCGGAUAUUUAUGAGCUGGUUGUCAAGUAUUUGUAAAUAUAAUAAAAAAUACAUUAAUGUUGCGAUAUUUUUAAACAUGAAGCAAACUAUAAAUGGCAAUUUCAUUAUAAACCAAAACAAAAUACCAUUCCAUAGAGACGCCACACUGAAGUCCCAUGCCUAUGAUAGGACGCGAACAUGGAACGACUACCAUACAAAUCAUCGUCAAUCCACUCCUAGUUAAUAUAUAUUACAAUGAUGUAUAUUUGUCUUUAUAUUUUUUCAUUAUUAAAGCUUUGUAUGUGUAUAUAUGCUAUUUUGUGGGCGGGAAAGGUGCAAUAUUGUCUUCGUCAUGUACAGAGUCUAUGCUUAAGUAUAGUCCUGUUUAUUUAUGUAGUUUAAGCUUUGUUUAAUGCGCAGUUUUAUGCAAUCCAUUUUUCUGUCCCUCAUGGUUACAUAUUCGUGUAUCAAUGGUGUUAUUUAAAGCCCCCCCUCCCCAUCAAUGUUCAUUCCUAACUGACCUAUAUUAUGUUUAUGAAAUUAUGUAUUAAUCAUUUUGCAAAAGGAAAGUGUGCAGUUAUUUUUUUACAUAAUUUUAUUAAUGGUAUGCGAUACAAAAUAUUGCCAUUUUUUUAUGCCAGAUGAUCCUUUUUUGUUUUGGUAUCAGUUGAAAGUUUUUAAAGUUCAAAGAAAGAAUAUGUACAACUUAUUAAAAGCACACAGUUUAAACUUAAAAGAUGGCUUAAUAGGCAGUCUUGCGUACGAUUUCAAUAACGAACAAAAAAACUGCACUUACUUUAUCUAUAAUGUAUUUUCGCUCAUUUCUUUACAUUGAAGUAUAUCAGGAAUAAAAACUCUUUUAUACAAUUCCAAAAUCAUAUGGGGAUCUCCAGGCAUCAAAAGUUACCAUUAUUGAAAAUAGUUUCUUCAGUAACAAGCUGAUGGGAACAACGUAUACUUGAAAGUCUUCUCAUCUCAGAAAUAAAGCCCAUUUUUCUUCCCUUUUCGUUGACACAUAUCAAGAAGUAUUCUAAGAGGAGCUUUCCUCGCACAGUAUACAAACUCUUGCUUUGACAAUAAGAAUUAUUUGAUUCUAGUUGAAACUGUUGAAUGUUGCUAUAUGUGUUAACACACGCAAGUCAGAACUUUUUUAGUAAUAAGUGCACACUUUCUUUUUAUUUUUAAAUGUAUAUAUCGGUUUUGAACGUAAUCAGUUAACCUGUUUAUAAAAUAUCAAAACCGAGGCUCCUAUGCUGUAUUGUGAUAACUUGAACAUUCCAUCAUCUUCAUCAUUAUCAUCGUCAUUACCGUAGUCAUCUUUUUAUGUAAUUUGUAGUUAGUUCCUAAUUGCAUUCAGUACCAAAAUAAUACUCAUGUACACUAUACUAACAUUGUUAAUGUCAAAACAUUUAAUUAAUUAUAAUGUACAAUAAACAUGAACGGUAUGAAAUAACAGGA